Molecule: transfer RNA, 71 nt
Organism: Loxodonta africana (African savanna elephant)
Lineage: Eukaryota; Metazoa; Chordata; Mammalia; Proboscidea; Elephantidae
Rfam family: tRNA
About the family: Transfer RNA (tRNA) molecules are approximately 80 nucleotides in length. Their secondary structure includes four short double-helical elements and three loops (D, anti-codon, and T loops).
Source: Rfam
GCAUUGGUGGCUUAGUGGCAGAAUUCUUGCCUUUCAUGCUGGAGACCUGGGUUCGAUUCCCAGCCAAUGAA